CAGCAGCCACGGUAAUACGUAGGUGGCAAGCGUUGUCCGGAAUUAUUGGGCGUAAAGGGCUCGCAGGCGGUUUCUUAAGUCUGAUGUGAAAGCCCCCGGCUCAACCGGGGAGGGUCAUUGGAAACUGGGAAACUUGAGUGCAGAAGAGGAGAGUGGAGUUCCACGUGUAGCGGUGGAAUGCGUAGAGAUGUGGAGGAACACCAGUGGCGAAGGCAACUCUCUGGUCUGUAACUGACGCUGAGGAGCGAAAGCGUGGGGAGCGAACAGGAUUAGAUACCCGGGUAGUCCCUGUCUCUUAUAC
This 301-nucleotide ribosomal RNA is filed under the name uncultured bacterium. Its description in RNAcentral is "partial 16S ribosomal RNA". It matches the Rfam family "Bacterial small subunit ribosomal RNA", at positions 509 to 807 of the family's 1533-position model. The record is from RNAcentral.